This 468-nucleotide ribosomal RNA is filed under the name uncultured bacterium. RNAcentral's name for it is "partial 16S ribosomal RNA". It matches the Rfam family "Bacterial small subunit ribosomal RNA", at positions 28 to 507 of the family's 1533-position model. The record is from RNAcentral.
GACGAACGCUGGCGGCGUGCUUAACACAUGCAAGUCGAACGGAAGGGCCCUGCUUUUGUGGGGUGCUCGGGUGGCGAACGGGUGAGUAACACGUGAGUAACCUGCCCUUGACUUUGGGAUAACUUCAGGAAACUGGGGCUAAUACCGGAUAGGAGCUCCUGCUGCAUGGUGGGGGUUGGAAAGUUUCGGCGGUUGGGGAUGGACUCGCGGCUUAUCAGCUUGUUGGUGGGGUAGUGGCUUACCAAGGCUUUGACGGGUAGCCGGCCUGAGAGGGUGACCGGCCACAUUGGGACUGAGAUACGGCCCAGACUCCUACGGGAGGCAGCAGUGGGGAAUAUUGCACAAUGGGCGGAAGCCUGAUGCAGCAACGCCGCGUGCGGGAUGACGGCCUUCGGGUUGUAAACCGCUUUCGCCUGUGACGAAGCGUGAGUGACGGUAAUGGGUAAAGAAGCACCGGCUAACUACGUG